GACGAACGCUGGCGGCGUGCUUAACACAUGCAAGUCGAACGGAAAGGCCCUGCUUGCAGGGUGCUCGAGUGGCGAACGGGUGAGUAACACGUGGGUGAUCUGCCCCUUACUUUGGGAUAAGCCUGGGAAACUGGGUCUAAUACUGGAUAGGACCAUGCUGUAUGUGGUGUGGUGGAAAGAUUAGUUUCGGUAAGGGAUGAGCUCGCGGCCUAUCAGCUUGUUGGUGGGGUAAUGGCCUACCAAGGCGUCGACGGGUAGCCGGCCUGAGAGGGUGGACGGCCACAUUGGGACUGAGAUACGGCCCAGACGACUACGGGAGGCAGCAGUGGGGAAUAUUGCACAAUGGGCGGAAGCCUGAUGCAGCGACGCCGCGUGGGGGAUGACGGCCUUCGGGUUGUAAACUCCUUUCAGCCAUGACGAAGCCCUUGUGGUGACGGUAGUGGUAGAAGAAGCACCGGCUAACUACGUG
RNAcentral lists this ribosomal RNA (469 nucleotides) under uncultured bacterium. RNAcentral's name for it is "partial 16S ribosomal RNA". It matches the Rfam family "Bacterial small subunit ribosomal RNA", at positions 28 to 507 of the family's 1533-position model. The record is from RNAcentral.